RNAcentral lists this ribosomal RNA (455 nucleotides) under uncultured bacterium. RNAcentral describes it as "bacterial SSU rRNA". It matches the Rfam family "Bacterial small subunit ribosomal RNA", at positions 340 to 786 of the family's 1533-position model. The record is from RNAcentral.
UACGGAAGGCAGCAGUGGGGAAUAUUGCACAAUGGGCGAAAGCCUGAUGCAGCUAUGCCGCGUGUAUGAAGAAGGCCUUAGGGUUGUAAAGUACUUUCAUCGGGGAGGAAAAAACAAAACUAAUAAUUUUAUUUCUUGACGUUACCCGAAAAAGAAGCACCGGCUAACUCCGUGCCAGCAGCCGCGGUAAUACGGAGGGUGCUAGCGUUAAUCAGAAUUACUGGGCGUAAAGAGCACGUAGGUGGUUUUUUUAAGUCAGAUGUGAAAUCCCUGGGCUUAACCUAGGAACUGCAUUUUGAAACUGAAAUACUAGAGUAUCGUAGAGGGAGGUAGAAUUCUAGGUGUAGCGGUGAAAUGCGUAGAUAUCUGGAGGAAUACCUGUGGCGAAAGCGGCCUCCUAAACGAAUACUGACACUGAGGUGCGAAAGCGUGGGGAGCAAACAGGGAUUAAUACC